GGAGGAAGCGCCCCACCCGGCCGCCCGCAUUUCCCCGAGGUCCUUGCAGCUGCGCGCGGAUCCGGAAGUGUUGGCAAUGGACCUGGCCCCGCCCUGCGGUCACAGUGGACCUGACACUCCCCGGGGCCCAGGUGUUCCCUAACCGGCCCGGGACGGCUGGGCUGGGCUCGGAAAAUGACUUGGCCUCGGGCCGUCUGCUCUCCUCUGGAGCGAAAGUAUUCUUACCUUGGCCCCAGAAUCCCGGAGGAACCUCAGGGUGAAGUUCGGGGAGUACUGUUGUUGAGAAUAGCAAGGUCCCGUAACCCCCUACAAUCCGCUCCCUUCUCACCGACCACGGAAGCCCCAGGUUUCUUAGAGGAACUAGGUGGAGGCGGCACUUGGAAGGUCUGCAGGUUCGAGCGCUGCCGCUGGCAGUAACCGAAGACUUCAGCAGACACAAAAUCAAGUUGAGGAGGUAUUGCUCUAAGACUCUCAAGUGUGAAUUCUAAAUAAACAUGGGUACACCCUGCAGAUAAUGCUGUUUAGAAAAAGUAUUAUAAAUGUGUGACUGUAAACUUUGACAGUGUUAUAAAUGUAAUAAAAAGUCUGUCCCCUUCUGUUUUUAGAAGCCAUGAUCUAAGCAAAAGUCAGACUCCCUGGUUUCAUGCUUAUUUUUCUGCAAGGGAAUCACAUACCUAAAACAGAAACAUUCCCCAAGAACCACUUUGUAAAAAUAGGAUAAUAAAGUUUUAAGGAUUCGGGCUAAAGAUUGUUCAAGCCAGAAAUGAAUCCCUUCCGAUGAGACAUUUUUCCAGAAUGCUUUGUCCUGCAGCCUGACCCACCAGUCACCUGACCUGAGCAACUCUAGGAAACAUUCAUCUCUGAGGUUGGCAAGAGAGGCACAGGCAGAUGCUGACUAACUGUCCUAGCCCAACAAAUCUGUAUCUGUAGAAUUCUUGACUUUCACAACAUUUUUUGUUCUGCCCAAUAUAUGCAGAACUGAAAACAGAUUGUGUGAAAAAUUGGGACUCAUAUUUCCCUAUUCCUAAAAGCAGUCACUGUCUGCAUUUAGCUACACUAAAAACUAGAGUUAAAAGGUAGAUACCAUUGUUAAAUCGUAGUAAUGCUUUGAUUGGGUAUUUUGUUUAUGAACUUAAUUAUCACAAUUUUAGAUUUUUCACAUUGAAAGCCAUUUAAAUCUGUCCUGCUUGAAUCUUGUUUACUUACGAAAUCAAAAUCCAAUCUUUUUUUUAUCCAAAGGAAUUUCAAAGAGUUGUAUUCUUUUUUCUUUUAUGGAGGUGAAAUACAAUUAACCAGUCUAAAGUAGUUUGGUAGUAUUUAAUAGAUUCACUUACUGUGCACCCAUUACCUCAGUUUUCAGAACUCUUUCAUUAUUCCUGAAAAGCACCUGUACCCAUUUAGUAACCAUUGCCCAUUUCCCCUUCUCCCAUUGCCCAGUCACC
This 1442-nucleotide long non-coding RNA is filed under the name Fukomys damarensis (Damara mole-rat). Its description in RNAcentral is "lncRNA (ENSFDAG00000021577.1)". Lineage: Eukaryota; Metazoa; Chordata; Mammalia; Rodentia; Bathyergidae. The record is from RNAcentral.